UACCAGACUCCUACGGGAGGCAGCAGUGAGGAAUAUUGGUCAAUGGGCGAGAGCCUGAACCAGCCAAGUCGCGUGAGGGAAGACGGUCCUAUGGAUUGUAAACCUCUUUUGCCGGGGAGCAAAAAGCGGUACGCGUACCGCAUCGAGAGUACCCGGAGAAAAAGCAUCGGCUAACUCCGUGCCAGCAGCCGCGGUAAUACGGAGGAUGCGAGCGUUAUCCGGAUUUAUUGGGUUUAAAGGGUGCGUAGGCGGAAGGUUAAGUCAGCGGUCAAAUGUCGGUGCUCAACACCGGCCUGCCGUUGAAACUGGCAGUCUCGAGUUGGAGAGAAGUAUGCGGAAUGCGCGGUGUAGCGGUGAAAUGCAUAGAUAUCGCGCAGAACUCCGAUUGCGAAGGCAGCAUGCCGGCUCCACACUGACGCUGAGGCACGAAAGCGUGGGUAUCGAACAGGAUUAGAUACCCUAGUA
This 465-nucleotide ribosomal RNA is filed under the name uncultured bacterium. RNAcentral's name for it is "bacterial SSU rRNA". It matches the Rfam family "Bacterial small subunit ribosomal RNA", at positions 329 to 792 of the family's 1533-position model. The record is from RNAcentral.